CUUAAAGGAAUUGACGGGGAGCACCACAACGGGUGGAGCUUGCGGUUUAAUUGGAUUCAACGCCGGAAAUCUUACCGGGACCGACAGCAAUAUGAAGGCCAGGCUGAAGACUUUGCCGGAUUAGCUGAGAGGUGGUGCAUGGCCGUCGUCAGUUCGUACUGUGAAGCAUCCUGUUAAGUCAGGCAACGAGCGAGACCCACGCCCACAGUUGCCAGCGUACUCUCUGGAGUGACGGGUACACUGUGGGACCGCCGCUGCUAAAGCGGAGGAAGGAAUGGGCAACGGUAGGUCAGUAUGCCCCGAAUAUCCCGGGCUACACGCGAGCUACAAUGGUUGGUACAAUGGGUAUCUACCCCGAAAGGGGACGGGAAUCUCCUAAACCAAUCUUAGUUCGGAUUGAGGGCUGCAACUCGCCCUCAUGAAGCUGGAAUCCGUAGUAAUCGCGUUUCAACAGAACGCGGUGAAUACGUCCCUGCUCCUU
Molecule: ribosomal RNA, 481 nt
Filed under: uncultured Methanosaeta sp.
Lineage: Archaea; Methanobacteriati; Methanobacteriota; Methanomicrobia; Methanotrichales; Methanotrichaceae
Description: bacterial SSU rRNA
Rfam family: Archaeal small subunit ribosomal RNA
Source: RNAcentral